Molecule: ribosomal RNA, 406 nt
Filed under: uncultured bacterium
Lineage: Bacteria
Description: partial 16S ribosomal RNA
Rfam family: Bacterial small subunit ribosomal RNA
Source: RNAcentral
AUUGAACGCUGGCGGCAGGCCUAACACAUGCAAGUCGAACGAGUGGCGGACGGGUGAGUAAUGUCUGGGAAACUGCCUGAUGGAGGGGGAUAACUACUGGAAAAGGUAGCUAAUACCGCAUACCAUCAGAUGUGCCCAGAUGGGAUUAUCUAGUAGGUGGGGUAACGGCUCACCAAGGCGACGAUCCCUAGCUGGUCUGAGAGGAUGACCAGCCACACUGGAAAGGAGACACGGUCCAGACUCCUACGGGAGGCAGCAGUGGGGAAGAUUGCACAAUGGGCGCAAGCCUGAUGCAGCCAUGCCGCGUGUAUGAAGAAGGCCUUCGGGUUGUAAAGUACUUUCAGCGGGGAGGCGUUACCCGCAGAAGAAGCACCGGCUAACUCCGUGCCAGCAGCCGCGGUAAUAC